GGUAAGUGGCAAGAUGGCUCCCCUGCAUGUCUCCGGCUGAACGCUGCCGCUUUGCCAAUACAAUAGAGCCAGCUUACUACCAGCAACCUGGCCCUCUUCCUCCUCUUCCUCCAGAGAGACCAGUCCAGCCGAACUCGGGGUUUGCCGUGAGGACUUAAACGCUUAUCUCUUAAACGCCCGAUCUAUUUUAGCCUCCCCGCUCCACCACCACCUCCCCUUCAUUUACCAUUUUUUUGGAUUCCCCAGUUGCUGCAUCUUGAUUUUCUCUCUCUGGAUCGGGUGGCUGGGAGGAGGUGGUGGGAUCUCGGGGCAAGGAAAGUGGUUUGUUUGGUUCGGGGGUUUUUGUUUUAAUUUUUUUAGGAUUUUUUUGUUUGGUUUUUGUUAUUUCUUCCAUUCCAGAAAGGGAUAAACAGCACUUCCAGGGGGAGAAA
This 431-nucleotide long non-coding RNA is filed under the name Rattus norvegicus (Norway rat). RNAcentral describes it as "long non-coding RNA NONRATT010861". The record is from RNAcentral. Lineage: Eukaryota; Metazoa; Chordata; Mammalia; Rodentia; Muridae.